GACGAACGCUGGCGGCGUGCCUAAUACAUGCAAGUAGGACGCACAGUCUAUACCGUAGCUUGCUACACCACAGACUGUGAGUUGCGAACGGGUGAGUAACGCGUAGGUAACCUGCCUAUUAGAGGGGGAUAACUAUUGGAAACGAUAGCUAAUACCGCAUAACAGUAUGUAACACAUGUUAGAUGCUUGAAAGAUGCAAUUGCAUCGCUAGUAGAUGGACCUGCGUUGUAUUAGCUAGUAGGUAGGGUAAUGGCCUACCUAGGCGACGAUACAUAGCCGACCUGAGAGGGUGAUCGGCCACACUGGGACUGAGACACGGCCCAGACUCCUACGGGAGGCAGCAGUAGGGAAUCUUCGGCAAUGGGGGGAACCCUGACCGAGCAACGCCGCGUGAGUGAAGAAGGUUUUCGGAUCGUAAAGCUCUGUUGUUAAGGAAGAACGAGUGUGAGAAUGGAAAGUUCAUACUGUGACGGUACUUAACCAGAAAGGGACGGCUAACUACGUGCCAGCAGCCGCGGUAAUACGUAGGUCCCGAGCGUUGUCCGGAUUUAUUGGGCGUAAAGCGAGCGCAGGCGGUUAGAAAAGUCUGAAGUGAAAGGCAGUGGCUCAACCAUUGUAGGCUUUGGAAACUGUUUAACUUGAGUGCAGAAGGGGAGAGUGGAAUUCCAUGUGUAGCGGUGAAAUGCGUAGAUAUAUGGAGGAACACCGGUGGCGAAAGCGGCUCUCUGGUCUGUAACUGACGCUGAGGCUCGAAAGCGUGGGGAGCGAACAGG
This 773-nucleotide ribosomal RNA is filed under the name Streptococcus anginosus. Its description in RNAcentral is "bacterial SSU rRNA". It matches the Rfam family "Bacterial small subunit ribosomal RNA", at positions 28 to 776 of the family's 1533-position model. Lineage: Bacteria; Bacillati; Bacillota; Bacilli; Lactobacillales; Streptococcaceae. The record is from RNAcentral.